GAUUCAACUCAGUUUUCGUAGCGGAGGGUUCAUUCAUGGGAAUGAACAACACUUAGCUACUGUGCUAGAGGACAAUGAAGAGGAAAAUCGCACCAACUUUGUAACGCAUAGAAGGACAAGCAACAAUUGGACUGCCGUUGAUAUUCUUGUUAUUUUGCAUCGAUGUAAGUAAUUUCUUUUAUAUUUUAAAAUCCUUCUCCUAUGCCUAAGUGUAACACCCCAAAAUUUGCCCUCCUCAUUCAUGCAUUCAUUUAGCAUUUCAUCAUGUCAAUCAGAAUUAGAUCCAAAAAAAAAAAAAAAAAAAAA
Molecule: long non-coding RNA, 306 nt
Filed under: Lathyrus oleraceus (garden pea)
Lineage: Eukaryota; Viridiplantae; Streptophyta; Magnoliopsida; Fabales; Fabaceae
Description: Pisum sativum (pea) long non-coding RNA (PSAT_LNC037047)
Source: RNAcentral